Molecule: ribosomal RNA, 445 nt
Filed under: uncultured bacterium
Lineage: Bacteria
Description: bacterial SSU rRNA
Rfam family: Bacterial small subunit ribosomal RNA
Source: RNAcentral
GUGAGGAAUAUUGGUCAAUGGGCGUAAGCCUGAACCAGCCAUCCCGCGUGAAGGAAGAAGGCGCUAUGCGUUGUAAACUUCUUUUCCAGAGGAAUAAAAUUUCAUACGUGUAUGGAACUGAAGGUACCCUGGGAAUAAGCAUCGGCUAACUCCGUGCCAGCAGCCGCGGUAAUACGGAGGAUGCGAGCGUUAUCCGGAUUCAUUGGGUUUAAAGGGUGCGUAGGCGGACCAAUAAGUCAGUGGUGAAAACCUGCAGCUUAACUGUAGACGUGCCAUUGAUACUGUUAGUCUUGAGUAUGGUCAAGGUAGGCGGAAUGUGUAAUGUAGCGGUGAAAUGCUUAGAUAUUACACAGAACACCAAUUGCGAAGGCAGCUUGCUGGGCCAUUACUGACGCUGAUGCACGAAAGCGUGGGGAGCGAACAGGAUUAGAAACCCCUGUAGUCC